This 72-nucleotide transfer RNA is filed under the name Ictidomys tridecemlineatus (thirteen-lined ground squirrel). RNAcentral describes it as "Spermophilus tridecemlineatus (thirteen-lined ground squirrel) tRNA". It matches the Rfam family "tRNA". From Rfam's summary of the family: Transfer RNA (tRNA) molecules are approximately 80 nucleotides in length. The record is from Rfam by way of RNAcentral. Lineage: Eukaryota; Metazoa; Chordata; Mammalia; Rodentia; Sciuridae.
UGGGGUGGAGCUCAGUGGUAGAGUGCUCGCCUACCAUGGGUGAGGCCCUGGGUUCAAUCCUCAGCACCACAU